GACUGAUUAGAGACCUUAAUUACAUCUUCAAAGUACCUUUCUUCUUUUCUAUUCUAUUGGUUAAAAGCAAGUUGUUAGUCCUGCUCAUACUCAAGAGGGAGGGAUUAUAGACAGGUGUGGAUAUCAGGAGCUAAAAAUAUCAGGGCCAUUUUAUAAUCCUGCCUACCACACUCUGUGACUACAGUUUGCAAAUAAUUUAAGAGGGAGAAAAUAAUAUCCUGUUUAUGUUAUCUUAAUUUGUAAUUUUUCGCCUGUAUUUUAACCAGCAUGAAAGCACUAUAGAAGCUAUAAUAUCCUCUGUAACUAUUAAAUAAUAUGGUGGUUAUGAAUAUUUUCUUAUCUUUGCAUAACUCAAAGGAGAGUUUUGUGACCGUUCUCCUUCUAAGGUUAAGCUGUAAUAGAAAUUCAGUUGAUGAGACAAGAUGGAAGUUCUGCCAUUGAAUACUCCUUGAACUUGGAACUCUUCUGAAUAGGCCCAAAGGACAAAAACUUUGACUAUAUAAACUACUUUUGGUCAUUACAGGUCGACUAUUAUGUUCUCUUGUCUUAUGAAACAAAUAUCAUCUAAAAUAUUGUACAUGAUUAUAAACAUAACCUUUCCAAAAUAAAAUCAGAACUUAUUCCUGUGCCAGCAUCA
Long non-coding RNA from Nomascus leucogenys (northern white-cheeked gibbon), 637 nucleotides. RefSeq lists it as uncharacterized. The record is from RefSeq and is a predicted model, not a curated record. The transcript has 2 exons. Lineage: Eukaryota; Metazoa; Chordata; Mammalia; Primates; Hylobatidae.